Molecule: long non-coding RNA, 452 nt
Organism: Prosopis cineraria
Lineage: Eukaryota; Viridiplantae; Streptophyta; Magnoliopsida; Fabales; Fabaceae
Exons: 4
Source: RefSeq, a predicted model, not a curated record
UUUAGUUUCAACUUUCAACGUUAUGCUUAGCUACUCCGCAUGAUGCGAUUAUUUGAUCAAUGUUUUUUUACUUUUUUCAAUCACGCGAUGGAGUGUUGAAAUUUCUACAUAUUCUCACUUCAGUGAAUUGCAAAAUCGAAACUAUCAACUGAAUCGUGAGAUAAGGCUUGAUGCUUUGUUUGCAGCACUUCCAGCAUCUGUGGGAAGUGAGAAACAGAAACCGGAUUGAAUCAAAUCAAUGAAGUAUCUGUGAGUUACUUCUUCUAUUCACGGCGGAAGAUCAGAGGGAGACUGGCACUUUUUGGUAUGAUCGAGCCAUUAAUUUACCUCAUCUUGACAUGAAACAGGUCCUUCUGAAUCAGGAUUUCCCAUGAAGUCUAACAUCAGAAGAUGAAACUUGAAGUUUGUACAUGGCAUGCACAUGUUGACGGUAGAAAGUAAAAUAUGAUAUA